This 254-nucleotide ribosomal RNA is filed under the name uncultured bacterium. RNAcentral describes it as "partial 16S ribosomal RNA". It matches the Rfam family "Bacterial small subunit ribosomal RNA", at positions 524 to 776 of the family's 1533-position model. The record is from RNAcentral.
UACGUAGGGGGCAAGCGUUGUCCGGAAUCAUUGGGCGUAAAGCGCGUGUAGGCGGUUCAGUAAGUCUGCUGUGAAAGUCCAGGGCUCAACCCUGGGAUGCCGGUGGAUACUGCUGGGCUAGAGUACGGAAGAGGCGAGUGGAAUUCCCGGUGUAGCGGUGAAAUGCGCAGAUAUCGGGAGGAACACCUAUUGCGAAGGCAGCUCGCUGGGACGUUACUGACGCUGAGACGCGAAAGCGUGGGGAGGCAAACAGG